This 2668-nucleotide ribosomal RNA is filed under the name Staphylococcus aureus. RNAcentral describes it as "partial 23S ribosomal RNA". It matches the Rfam family "Bacterial large subunit ribosomal RNA". RNAcentral also lists the same sequence under 1 other name. Lineage: Bacteria; Bacillati; Bacillota; Bacilli; Caryophanales; Staphylococcaceae. The record is from RNAcentral.
CGAAACGGGAAGAGCCCAAACCAACAAGCUUGCUUGUUGGGGUUGUAGGACACUCUAUACGGAGUUACAAAGGACGACAUUAGACGAAUCAUCUGGAAAGAUGAAUCAAAGAAGGUAAUAAUCCUGUAGUCGAAAAUGUUGUCUCUCUUGAGUGGAUCCUGAGUACGACGGAGCACGUGAAAUUCCGUCGGAAUCUGGGAGGACCAUCUCCUAAGGCUAAAUACUCUCUAGUGACCGAUAGUGAACCAGUACCGUGAGGGAAAGGUGAAAAGCACCCCGGAAGGGGAGUGAAAUAGAACCUGAAACCGUGUGCUUACAAGUAGUCAGAGCCCGUUAAUGGGUGAUGGCGUGCCUUUUGUAGAAUGAACCGGCGAGUUACGAUUUGAUGCAAGGUUAAGCAGUAAAUGUGGAGCCGUAGCGAAAGCGAGUCUGAAUAGGGCGUUUAGUAUUUGGUCGUAGACCCGAAACCAGGUGAUCUACCCUUGGUCAGGUUGAAGUUCAGGUAACACUGAAUGGAGGACCGAACCGACUUACGUUGAAAAGUGAGCGGAUGAACUGAGGGUAGCGGAGAAAUUCCAAUCGAACCUGGAGAUAGCUGGUUCUCUCCGAAAUAGCUUUAGGGCUAGCCUCAAGUGAUGAUUAUUGGAGGUAGAGCACUGUUUGGACGAGGGGCCCCUCUCGGGUUACCGAAUUCAGACAAACUCCGAAUGCCAAUUAAUUUAACUUGGGAGUCAGAACAUGGGUGAUAAGGUCCGUGUUCGAAAGGGAAACAGCCCAGACCACCAGCUAAGGUCCCAAAAUAUAUGUUAAGUGGAAAAGGAUGUGGCGUUGCCCAGACAACUAGGAUGUUGGCUUAGAAGCAGCCAUCAUUUAAAGAGUGCGUAAUAGCUCACUAGUCGAGUGACACUGCGCCGAAAAUGUACCGGGGCUAAACAUAUUACCGAAGCUGUGGAUUGUCCUUUGGACAAUGGUAGGAGAGCGUUCUAAGGGCGUUGAAGCAUGAUCGUAAGGACAUGUGGAGCGCUUAGAAGUGAGAAUGCCGGUGUGAGUAGCGAAAGACGGGUGAGAAUCCCGUCCACCGAUUGACUAAGGUUUCCAGAGGAAGGCUCGUCCGCUCUGGGUUAGUCGGGUCCUAAGCUGAGGCCGACAGGCGUAGGCGAUGGAUAACAGGUUGAUAUUCCUGUACCACCUAUAAUCGUUUUAAUCGAUGGGGGGACGCAGUAGGAUAGGCGAAGCGUGCGAUUGGAUUGCACGUCUAAGCAGUAAGGCUGAGUAUUAGGCAAAUCCGGUACUCGUUAAGGCUGAGCUGUGAUGGGGAGAAGACAUUGUGUCUUCGAGUCGUUGAUUUCACACUGCCGAGAAAAGCCUCUAGAUAGAAAAUAGGUGCCCGUACCGCAAACCGACACAGGUAGUCAAGAUGAGAAUUCUAAGGUGAGCGAGCGAACUCUCGUUAAGGAACUCGGCAAAAUGACCCCGUAACUUCGGGAGAAGGGGUGCUCUUUAGGGUUAACGCCCAGAAGAGCCGCAGUGAAUAGGCCCAAGCGACUGUUUAUCAAAAACACAGGUCUCUGCUAAACCGUAAGGUGAUGUAUAGGGGCUGACGCCUGCCCGGUGCUGGAAGGUUAAGAGGAGUGGUUAGCUUCUGCGAAGCUACGAAUCGAAGCCCCAGUAAACGGCGGCCGUAACUAUAACGGUCCUAAGGUAGCGAAAUUCCUUGUCGGGUAAGUUCCGACCCGCACGAAAGGCGUAACGAUUUGGGCACUGUCUCAACGAGAGACUCGGUGAAAUCAUAGUACCUGUGAAGAUGCAGGUUACCCGCGACAGGACGGAAAGACCCCGUGGAGCUUUACUGUAGCCUGAUAUUGAAAUUCGGCACAGCUUGUACAGGAUAGGUAGGAGCCUUUGAAACGUGAGCGCUAGCUUACGUGGAGGCGCUGGUGGGAUACUACCCUAGCUGUGUUGGCUUUCUAACCCGCACCACUUAUCGUGGUGGGAGACAGUGUCAGGCGGGCAGUUUGACUGGGGCGGUCGCCUCCUAAAAGGUAACGGAGGCGCUCAAAGGUUCCCUCAGAAUGGUUGGAAAUCAUUCAUAGAGUGUAAAGGCAUAAGGGAGCUUGACUGCGAGACCUACAAGUCGAGCAGGGUCGAAAGACGGACUUAGUGAUCCGGUGGUUCCGCAUGGAAGGGCCAUCGCUCAACGGAUAAAAGCUACCCCGGGGAUAACAGGCUUAUCUCCCCCAAGAGUUCACAUCGACGGGGAGGUUUGGCACCUCGAUGUCGGCUCAUCGCAUCCUGGGGCUGUAGUCGGUCCCAAGGGUUGGGCUGUUCGCCCAUUAAAGCGGUACGCGAGCUGGGUUCAGAACGUCGUGAGACAGUUCGGUCCCUAUCCGUCGUGGGCGUAGGAAAUUUGAGAGGAGCUGUCCUUAGUACGAGAGGACCGGGAUGGACAUACCUCUGGUGUACCAGUUGUCGUGCCAACGGCAUAGCUGGGUAGCUAUGUGUGGACGGGAUAAGUGCUGAAAGCAUCUAAGCAUGAAGCCCCCCUCAAGAUGAGAUUUCCCAACUUCGGUUAUAAGAUCCCUCAAAGAUGAUGAGGUUAAUAGGUUCGAGGUGGAAGCAUGGUGACAUGUGGAGCUGACGAAUACUAAUCGAUCGAAGACUUAAUCAA